UAUACACUAUCAGAAUCGUACGGAUUUUUUGGAGAAAAAUCUGAAACGUACGGAUAUGUUGCAGAAUUUCGGAAGGUAGGAAUUUAGCAUCGCCGUUUGUCCAGGCGGAGCCCAUUGAAGACAACAAGCCCAUACAUAGGGAAAGCCCACUUUGCCAGCCUCUGAGACGCGCAGCGGAAGGGAUCAAAGGGAGGGAGACGAACCACGGUGUCGCCGGCGGUCGCGCCAUUCGCCGCCGCCGUUUGCUUCUCCUGCCCCCAUCUCCACCACCAUGCCGCGCCAGGCCACGAGAUGUCGACAGAGAUAAGGUUCCUACAGGCUGGCCUAUUGGAUGAUAGGGGACCAGGAAUAAAAUUAUGUGGCCCAAAAGCACAAGUGGAAAUAUGGCAUGCUUGAGCAAUGCCAUACCUUUUCUUGGAAAUAAUAAUAGAGAACAACGGCAUCAUACGUUUUUGGUGGGGGGAAAGGUGCUGCAAGUGGUGCCCCUUGGACUCCUCAGAGGCAGACUCACUUUUCGGAGAUUUUUUAUUCGGUCAACCCUUUCCAUCUGAUUCUUUCCAGCUUUUGUUCCAUACCCCCAUGUUUUUAGGGUGCACAGGAUUUCCUUUAAGUUGGAAUAACAGUGGAAGCGAACAAUUGGUGGGGGCACAAUUCCUCUAUAUAGAAAGAUUGCUUUUCACGAAA
Long non-coding RNA from Hordeum vulgare subsp. vulgare (domesticated barley), 684 nucleotides. RefSeq lists it as uncharacterized. The record is from RefSeq and is a predicted model, not a curated record. Lineage: Eukaryota; Viridiplantae; Streptophyta; Magnoliopsida; Poales; Poaceae. The transcript is spliced from 2 exons.